Molecule: ribosomal RNA, 438 nt
Filed under: uncultured bacterium
Lineage: Bacteria
Description: bacterial SSU rRNA
Rfam family: Bacterial small subunit ribosomal RNA
Source: RNAcentral
GGCAACUCGCCAUUCAGUGGCGAACGGGUGAGUAAUGCAUCGGAACGUGUCCCGUAGUGGGGGAUAACGCCGCGAAAGCGGCGCUAAUACCGCAUACGCUCUACGGAGGAAAGCAGGGGACCCGCAAGGGCCUUGUGCUAGGGGAGCGGCCGAUGUCCGAUUAGGUAGUUGGUGGGGUAACGGCCUACCAAGCCUGCGAUCGGUAGCUGGUCUGAGAGGAUGAUCAGCCACACUGGGACUGAGACACGGCCCAGACUCCUACGGGAGGCAGCAGUGGGGAAUUUUGGACAAUGGGGGCAACCCUGAUCCAGCCAUGCCGCGUGCGGGAAGAAGGCCUUCGGGUUGUAAACCGCUUUUAGCCGGGAAGAAAAGGCGCGGGCUAAUACCCCGUGUUUUUGACGGUACCGGCGGAAUAAGCACCGGCUAACUACGUGCCAG